This 423-nucleotide ribosomal RNA is filed under the name uncultured bacterium. RNAcentral's name for it is "bacterial SSU rRNA". It matches the Rfam family "Bacterial small subunit ribosomal RNA", at positions 357 to 772 of the family's 1533-position model. The record is from RNAcentral.
GGGAAUUUUGGACAAUGGGGGCAACCCUGAUCCAGCAAUGCCGCGUGUGUGAAGAAGGCCUUCGGGUUGUAAAGCACUUUUGUCCGGAAAGAAAUCCUCUGGGUUAAUACCCCGGGGGGAUGACGGUACCGGAAGAAUAAGCACCGGCUAACUACGUGCCAGCAGCCGCGGUAAUACGUAGGGUGCGAGCGUUAAUCGGAAUUACUGGGCGUAAAGCGUGCGUAGGCGGUGCCAUAAGUCUGUUGUGAAAUCUCCCGGCUUAACUGGGAGGGUGCGGUGGAAACUGUGGUGCUGGAGUGUGGGAGAGGUAGGCGGAAUUCCUGGUGUAGCGGUGAAAUGCGUAGAUAUCAGGAGGAACACCUGUGGUGUAGACGGCUUACUGGACCAUGACUGACGCUGAGGCACGAAAGCGUGGGGAGCAAA